AUCUAACCAUUUAUCGGGCUAGGGACUAGGGUUCAUCUUGGUGAACACUUAACAGGGAGGCAAUGAUUUUAUGCUUGUAUGCACUGAUGCCUUGUGCGAAAUCAGUUCUCAAUCCAAGCAGUUAAAUCGCCUCAUUUUUGCAUGCAGUGAUCCACUCAUCCUUCUAAGUUCUAAUAUCUCAUCUUUUCCUGUAAAAAUCUAUUCUUUCUUUGAUUUGAUGCGUUCAAUCUGCUUAUUUCAUUUCAUAAUUUUUUGUGUAAAGCUUUAAUUUUUAGAUAUUGGACACUGAUGAAGCUAUUUCAUUAUUGUCUUCUUAUUCCCAUCACAGAAUAACUGAUAUUCGUUUAGAUCUUGCUUCUCCACCCUCGCUGUCCUCAGUUUUUUUUUUUUUUUUUUCCAAGAGACUGAUAGCCACUUAGAUAUUUUUGCUGUUAGUGUGUUUCACUUAAUGGUUUCAUAUGUUGCCUAUAGAGAUUAGAGAUUAGAGAAUGUCUAGAUAAAACAGUUCAGGUUUUUAUGGGAUUUUGGAUCGCUCAUGCAAAAAUGAUGUGAGUUACUGCUUGAAGUUGUGAAAGGAUUUGCACAAUGAGGAAUAGGCUGUGACAUGGUACAUAAACCAAUCUGUCUGGUAAGUUCUGAAAGAGCUUCUUGAAUGCAUGAAGUUCAUCAAUUACUUGUAUGUAUGCUGUAUGUGAAAGUAUAGUUAUUUAUGCAUUUGUUGGUUACUUGUGGCUACUGUUAAGAACUGGAGAGAUCAGAGCAAUUAUGAGCAUUUAAUCUGGCAUUUCCAUAAGUUAAAUGUUCAUCCAAGGUGCCCUUUGUUUGGAUGAAAAGCACUGCAAUUGUGAAGCCUUUUACUGGAUCUUAUAUUUGAUUGCCUCUAUUACCUUUGUUUCUUUGCUUUGGCUGUAUUAGGAUCUGUCUCCAAGUAAUAGAAAUAUGUGAAAAAUAUGAAUAUAGCAGAGACAAAGUAAGAAUAUAGCUUAAAUUCAAAGCCUGUCUUCUUCAACAAAUUACUGCCCCAAAAGGCCCAAAUGUUCAUGUUCUUUAACAGGUACACUAUUUUAAAUUGAUUUUAUUUAAUUGUGAUUCUGCAAACUGCCUACUGCACUGGGAUAUAUUAGCACGCCUUGUCUUGAAAAUGCUCGAUGUGGAGAAAGAGCAUGAAGCAAAUGUGGAAGUAUCCUUCAAGUAUUCUAUUUGCAUUUUUCUUCGCCAAUUUAGUAUAAAUAAUAACACUUUUACUUUGUUCCUUCCCUAGUUUAGGCUACUGGUCAUUUUGACAAACGUAUUUUGUGUGAGGUGAUGAAAAGGGGUGAUGGAUCCUAGUGGUGGUAGGAAUGGAUAUUCCCGAGUUGUCAUCUCUAAGGUUGACAACACAUGACCACUUUGUGCUUUGCUAUGGCCUAUGGGAAAGACAAAAAACGACUGUCUUAUUGGCAACCUAGAUGAGUAGUGGGUAGGAUGAAGGAGACAAUUUCCCACACAAAAGAUUAAACUAGGGUACUCGGGACUUAGCGUAGUGGUUUGUCGGAUGUCAUGAUUGAAGGCGGCAGUGUGUGGGUUCAAAUUUCACUGGAAAGACGAAUGCGGAAAAAGUUCAGGAUGAUGGAAGGUGUUCACAUCAAGAUUAGAGUUUGACCGGUGGGCUGAUGGUAAAGUUAUCAAUACAGGCUAGCAGAGCGGGUGGGCUGAUGGUAAAGUUGUCAAUACAGGCAGAGCGGGUGGGCUGAUGGUAAAGUUGUCAAUACAGGCUGGCAGAGCGGGCAAGCGAAAGCUCUCUUAAAUUUAAAUUUAAAAGAUAAUAGUGUACCAAAAUGUUAUAAAAGGAUUAUUAUGAUGCAUUUCCUUUGUAAAAGAAUCAUAUACUACCACAUAAUGUCUUGGAUCAAUUUGUGUGGUAAUGUAUUACUCUCUUAAAUUUACCACAUAAUAAUAUAUUCAUCCGUUCUUGUGGUA
Ipomoea triloba (trilobed morning glory) is the source of this 1959-nucleotide long non-coding RNA. RefSeq lists it as uncharacterized. NCBI's taxonomy places the organism in Eukaryota, Viridiplantae, Streptophyta, Magnoliopsida, Solanales, Convolvulaceae. The record is from RefSeq and is a predicted model, not a curated record. The transcript has 2 exons.